RNAcentral lists this ribosomal RNA (843 nucleotides) under uncultured bacterium. RNAcentral's name for it is "bacterial SSU rRNA". It matches the Rfam family "Bacterial small subunit ribosomal RNA", at positions 26 to 898 of the family's 1533-position model. The record is from RNAcentral.
AGAAUCAACGCUGGCGGCGUGCCUAACACAUGCAAGUCGAACGAGAAAGUGGUAGCAAUACCAUGAGUAAAGUGGCGCACGGGUGAGUAACACGUGACUAACCUACCCUGGAGUGGGGGAUAACUGAGGGAAACCUUAGCUAAUACCGCAUAAUACCCACGGGUCAAAGGAGCAAUUCGCUCUGGGAGGGGGUCGCGGCCGAUUAGUUAGUUGGCGGGGUAAUGGCCCACCAAGACAGUGAUCGGUAUCCGGCCUGAGAGGGCGCACGGACACACUGGAACUGAAACACGGUCCAGACUCCUACGGGAGGCAGCAGUGGGGAAUUUUGCGCAAUGGGGGAAACCCUGACGCAGCAACGCCGCGUGGAGGAUGAAGUCCUUCGGGACGUAAACUCCUUUCGAUCGGGAAGAUUAUGACGGUACCGAUAUAAGAAGCCCCGGCUAACUUCGUGCCAGCAGCCGCGGUAAUACGAGGGGGGCGAGCGUUGUUCGGAAUUAUUGGGCGUAAAGGGUGCGUAGGCGGUUUGGCAAGUCUUAUGUGAAAUCUAUGGGCUCAACCCAUAGCCUGCAUGAGAAACUGCCGGGCUUGAGUAUGGGAGAGGUGAGUGGAAUUUCCGGUGUAGCGGUGAAAUGCGUAGAUAUCGGAAGGAACACCUGUGGCGAAAGCGGCUCACUGGACCAUAACUGACGCUGAGGCACGAAAGCUAGGGGAGCAAACAGGAUUAGAUACCCUGGUAGUCCUAGCCCUAAACGAUGAUUGCUUGGUGUGACGGGUACCCAAUCCCGCCGUGCCGUAGCUAACGCGUUAAGCAAUCCGCCUGGGGGGUACGGUCGCAAGGCUGAA